Mauremys mutica (yellowpond turtle) is the source of this 748-nucleotide long non-coding RNA. RefSeq lists it as uncharacterized. NCBI's taxonomy places the organism in Eukaryota, Metazoa, Chordata, Testudines, Geoemydidae. The record is from RefSeq and is a predicted model, not a curated record. The transcript has 4 exons.
GCAAGGUGGGCGUGGCAGUGGGGGUUGCACUCGGCCUGGCCGUGCUGCUGCUGGUGAUUCUCAUCCUGGCCAUCUGCCUCUGCUGGCGCCAGCGCUGGAGCGGCAAGCACAGCGUGGCGGACCUGGAGGAGAGCCAGGAGCAGUGGUACAGCAACGAGGAGUGGGAGUGGAAGGCGCCCCCCCCGGGAGUCGCGGCCAGCACCCCGUCCGCCCCCAGCUGGCCAGGUCACGUCCCAGAGACUGAGGGCGGCGGCCGCAGCCACAGAGUCUCCUCGUCCUUCCGGCCUUCGCUGGACAAAGUGGACACGUCCCUGCAGACCCAAAUUGCCCGGCCCCAGGUGACCCGGCUCUGAGUCCCAGCGGCCGCUCAGGCCCGUGACAUCCAGGACCGAUCCAGCGGCCGCAGCUGUCGGAGGAGGCUGCUCCCGGGGACCUGCGCCCAUCACACCUGCGGAGCUGAGGCCGGGGGGGCCCGGGCCGGACGUGAACCCGGAGCCGCCCCCAGGCCGGUGACUCUCUGCUGCUGAGACCCACCCCCUCAUGGGCAGGGACACGGCGGACCCAGGCCUGGCCCAGCGGCCGGGGACUGGCAGGCACGGAGCGGCCGGGAUUGGGACCGUGCUGCCGGCGGUGGCGGUGGGACACUGGGCUCUGGGCCAUGGUAGCGUCCCCAGCUCUGCCCGAGUCUGGGGGGGGUCCGUUCCUCUUUGGCAGCCCGGUGCCAGGGGCGGGGCGGGGCUUUCCCGGG